This 69-nucleotide transfer RNA is filed under the name Potorous longipes (long-footed potoroo). RNAcentral's name for it is "tRNA-Val". Lineage: Eukaryota; Metazoa; Chordata; Mammalia; Diprotodontia; Potoroidae. The record is from RNAcentral.
ACACCUAAAAGAUUUCAGCUAACCCUGACCAUUUUGAGCUAAUCUAAGCCCAUCAAACCACCAAAACAA